Molecule: long non-coding RNA, 2852 nt
Organism: Diachasmimorpha longicaudata
Lineage: Eukaryota; Metazoa; Arthropoda; Insecta; Hymenoptera; Braconidae
Exons: 4
Source: RefSeq, a predicted model, not a curated record
CCCUUGCACUUUCCUCCAUUUAAUGCCACUGUAACAAUUCAUCAAAUCCAAGCAGUUGAAAAAAAUAUGAUUUUCCAAAAUUUUUCUUUCCAAGAUUUUCGUUCAAUGUCUGGCCUACUCCAUCAAAGCCUUGAUCAAGAAAGCUGGCGUGAAGGUUCUCAAUCCGACAGAUGGGCUCGUUAAUCCCGACAAAAAGUUGGCAAUCAUCUGUCAGGUGAAUUUUCAGAAUAAAUAACAAAGGAAAAAAGCUGACUCGAAAGUGAACUGCUGCAAAACUACUGAACUCUGAGAGUGAUAUCGAUACCUUCAUCCGCAGAAAUCAGAUGAUCUCAUAAAAGAAUGGCAUUUAUCAAGUAAUUAAUAAAUAAAUAAAUUAGACAAUGUCUCUCUGGAUCAACUCAAUAAGGCAACGAUAAUACAGGAAUCAUCAUCCAGUCUUGGAAAUGGAAUGGUCUCCGAGUAUCAUCUCCAGGGAAAAAAGUCAUCAAUUAUCACACGUGACGAGAGGAGAAUAUCGGAGACAAAGAGAUUUAGCCGGAAUAAAAUAGAGAUAAUUUCUGAAGUACGAUUGAAGUGGUAACCCGAAGAGCACUGUUCAGUCGUGGAUCGAGCGUAGUCGUGUGAGGGCUGACUGAGGGUAGAAGAGGAAGCCGAUGCCUGAAGCCGGGCGUGCAGCAAAUAAGAAGGAGAGACGGUUAAAACAAAAAUAAAAGAAAAAUAAGAGAUGUGUAUAAAGAGGAGAAAAAGAAACGAGAAAAUAAAGAAAAACCAUGGGAGCCCUUGAAAGGCGAAUUGGAAAGUAUGUCGGAGGUGCAUGAGCAUUGUACAAAUGACUCUAGAGCUCGUUGAAGACAUUUUUCGUCAUUAAAUCAUUUUUUCGGCGACCCUCACCUUGAAAUAUUUUAGAAUAGAGAGAAGGGUGAAGGGAGGACUAGCGAGCAAAAAAUCAAGUUCAUUUUUUUAUCAUUCAUACGUUUAAUCGUUCCCACAGUAUUUUUAAUAUUUAAUUUUUUAUUACCGGAAAUGUUGAUGUGGUUCAUGGGGAGAUUGACUUUUUGACAUUUUUCAUCAGUAAAUCAUUGCAUUGGACGACCUUCACCUUGAAGUGAUUGAGAAUAAAAGAAAGGGAGAAGGGAUCGGUUGCUCACCUUCAACACCAUUUGAUGCAGAAAUAAAAUCCUUCGAGGGAAUUUCGACUGGAAGAAUCAAAAUCCUCCCCUUCACCGAUCGAAGCCAUCUUCGUCCCCCUCAAAAAUCUAUUCUCAGUUAACUCCACCAAUCAACCACAUUAUUAGUUAAUCACAAACCUCUAGAACUGUGCGAGUAUCUCGAUCCGUCGCGUUACAAAUAAAAUUUGUUGUAUAAAAUAAAAAAGUCACCGAAGAAUAAAAAAAAACAUUGAAAGUAUUGAAAAUAAAAACCAAAGCGGCAUGGGAACCGGUUCUUCGUGAAGUUGGGGGGGAGGUUUGCAGCCUCACGGGCAAAAUCAUCUGUCUGGGCUUCUCUGUUUCUACACAAGACCCGGAUUCCUAUAACCGCAUCCAUCGGGGAUAAUUUACCGAUUCAACUGGUUCAAAUUCCUAUCAAUGCGCGUUACAGAUGCCGAUAAAAAGUUAAAGCAGUCGAUUCCCCGAACUCUUGGUGAUUUUUGUUUUUGAAUGGAAGCUUUGUAAUCGUUGGAUUUUCUAAUUUUGCUUGUAAAUGAUAUAGAAUGAUCUGAAACGCAAAAAUACAAAAUUUCAGCAGCAUGUGUGUAUGUGCGCAUGGGCACCUUGGCCCAUUCUUUUAGAAAAUCAAAGGAAUAAACGGCUAAAGUUAUUCCGCGAAAGGUCGAAUUUCGUCAAAUCACAGGUAUUACUAAGGACUAAGUCUGUGCCGAAAUUCAACGCCAUUGGUCAAGCCGUUUUUCAUAAAUUUCCAUUUCGUUUCGAACCGGUUAACGCAAAUAUCUCGAACACUAUCGAAUCGAUGAGAAUUUUUCACCUCUCAAAAUAUUCGUCUUGAUGUACUCUAUCUCUAUCUCAAUCAAUCAAAAUAUCUAUACCGGUUCUCACUAAGUUUUCCAGAUAUUCCAAUUUAUCUGUUUUAUCCAAAAAAAGUUUGUUAGCUCGGUAACAUUGCGAUAAAUUGAUUCAUUAAUUUGAAAUUUGGCAUAAAAUUUCCUCUUAACAAUGAAAUGUUCGGUGUAUUGAAGAGCGGCUGAAUCGGAUCAUUAGUUCAUGAUAUAUUCCAGUUUAUAUGAAAAUCGAUUUCCUUCAGUAUCUUGAAAACUAUGAAACCGUUUUACGUGUUUGCCCUCAUAAAAUUUUCGUUUCGGUUUUUCAUCCCCAUUCAGUCGAAAAAAUUGCAAUAUUUCCCCACGAUUAUAUAUCACUCGGUACCUGAAAUCGGAUGGGCCCCUCUUGUUCCGCCCCCACGAGAAAUAGUGCAAGUGUUGAAACAAGAGGGUUGGGGGGGGGGGAGGAGGGGGGUACAAUAGACUAGUCGAUGAAGUACGUGGAAACAAAGGGGACCAAGCGGUGGUUUUAUGCGGCAGCCGAUGGCUUUUCUCACAAUUCAAUUCCCGGUUAUGCCGGUAUAUCCCCACGAGUUAAAUUAAACGUUAAAAAAAAUAUACGUACAUACAUGCAUAAAGGAAUUUACACGUGGAAACAAAGCACCUGUAGUUACUGAGAGGGGAAGAGGGAGGAGAAAGGGAGACCGGUUCGCACACACAUUAUGUGGAGGGACUAUUCUUCGUUGAGAGCUAAUACUCUUGCGAUUUUUCGUCCCUAAACUGCAGGUGAACCUCCAGGGCUAUUUUGUGAUUAAAAAAUUAUAUUAAACUUUUUUAAACAUCUGGGGAAUUUUUA